RNAcentral lists this ribosomal RNA (489 nucleotides) under uncultured bacterium. RNAcentral's name for it is "bacterial SSU rRNA". It matches the Rfam family "Bacterial small subunit ribosomal RNA", at positions 40 to 507 of the family's 1533-position model. The record is from RNAcentral.
CGGCGCGCUUAACACAUGCAAGUCGAACGAGAAAGGGCUUCGGCCCGGUACAGUGGCGCACGGGUGAGUAACACGUAGGUAACCUGCCCUUGAGUGGUGGAUAACAUUCCGAAAGGAGUGCUAAUACAGCAUAAGACCACGGUUCCAUCAAGGAACAGGGGUCAAAGCGGGCCUCUUCAUGAAAGCUCGCGCUUGGGGAUGGGCCUGCGGCGCAUCAGCUAGUUGGUGAGGUAAUGGCUCACCAAGGCUAAGACGCGUAGCUGGUUUGAGAGGAUGAUCAGCCACACUGGAACUGAGACACGGUCCAGACUCCUACGGGAGGCAGCAGUGAGGAAUAUUGCGCAAUGGGGGCAACCCUGACGCAGCAACGCCGCGUGAGUGAGGAAGGUUUUCGGACCGUAAAGCUCUGUCGAGCGGGAAGAAAUGUAUCAUGGCUAAUAUCCAUGAUACUUGACGGUACCGCUAAAGGAAGCACCGGCUAACUCCGUG